Molecule: unclassified non-coding RNA, 416 nt
Filed under: Nocardioides sp.
Lineage: Bacteria; Bacillati; Actinomycetota; Actinomycetes; Propionibacteriales; Nocardioidaceae
Description: partial 16S-23S ribosomal RNA intergenic spacer
Source: RNAcentral
UCGUCGAUGAUUGGGUCGCUGCCUGCGGGUGGGUCCCUCAGUACUGCUCGUGUCUCGUGCCGGCCCUUUGGGGUUGGUGUGGGGUGUGGGUGUGGAACCUGGGGUCUGUUGGUGGGUGGUGGCUGUUCGGACACACUGUUGGGUCCUGAGGGAUCAGGCUCCGCAUCGUCUCCUGCUGAAUUGGGGGGUGGUGGGGGUUGGUUUCUCUGGUUGUCUCCUCCUUUGUCUGCUCCGCGACCGGUUGGUUGGGGGUGGGGGUUGGUGGGGUUGUUGUUUGAGAUCUGCAUAGUGGACGCGAGCAUUUAAUUCAUGCCCCCGACUUUUUUUGUUGGGGGUGUGGUUGUGCAUGAUUGUUUUGUUGUUCUUGUGGUGUUGUCUUGUGGCGUUGCAUGUUUGUGUUGUUGUGACGUUGUUGA